This is a small nuclear RNA of Schistocerca piceifrons (Central American locust), 111 nucleotides long. The record is from RefSeq and is a predicted model, not a curated record. Lineage: Eukaryota; Metazoa; Arthropoda; Insecta; Orthoptera; Acrididae.
GUACUUGCUUCGGCAGUACAAACACUAAAAUUGGAACGAUACAGACGAUACAGAGAGGAUUAGCAUGGCCCCUGAGCAAGGAAAAAAAAGAAAGAAAAAAAAGACGGUUAA